This 1618-nucleotide ribosomal RNA is filed under the name Escherichia coli. Its description in RNAcentral is "bacterial SSU rRNA". It matches the Rfam family "Bacterial small subunit ribosomal RNA". Lineage: Bacteria; Pseudomonadati; Pseudomonadota; Gammaproteobacteria; Enterobacterales; Enterobacteriaceae. The record is from RNAcentral.
AAAUUGAAGAGUUUGAUCAUGGCUCAGAUUGAACGCUGGCGGCAGGCCUAACACAUGCAAGUCGAACGGUAACAGGAAACAGCUUGCUGUUUCGCUGACGAGUGGCGGACGGGUGAGUAAUGUCUGGGAAACUGCCUGAUGGAGGGGAUAACUACUGGAAACGGUAGCUAAUACCGCAUAACGUCGCAAGACCAAAGAGGGGGACCACUGCCUGAUGGAGGGGGAUAACUACUGGAAACGGUAGCUAAUACCGCAUAACGUCGCAAGACCAAAGAGGGGGACCUUCGGGCCUCUUGCCAUCGGAUGUGCCCAGAUGGGAUUAGCUAGUAGGUGGGGUAACGGCUCACCUAGGCGACGAUCCCUAGCUGGUCUGAGAGGAUGACCAGCCACACUGGAACUGAGACACGGUCCAGACUCCUACGGGAGGCAGCAGUGGGGAAUAUUGCACAAUGGGCGCAAGCCUGAUGCAGCCAUGCCGCGUGUAUGAAGAAGGCCUUCGGGUUGUAAAGUACUUUCAGCGGGGAGGAAGGGAGUAAAGUUAAUACCUUUGCUCAUUGACGUUACCCGCAGAAGAAGCACCGGCUAACUCCGUGCCAGCAGCCGCGGUAAUACGGAGGGUGCAAGCGUUAAUCGGAAUUACUGGGCGUAAAGCGCACGCAGGCGGUUUGUUAAGUCAGAUGUGAAAUCCCCGGGCUCAACCUGGGAACUGCAUCUGAUACUGGCAAGCUUGAGUCUCGUAGAGGGGGGUAGAAUUCCAGGUGUAGCGGUGAAAUGCGUAGAGAUCUGGAGGAAUACCGGUGGCGAAGGCGGCCCCCUGGACGAAGACUGACGCUCAGGUGCGAAAGCGUGGGGAGCAAACAGGAUUAGAUACCCUGGUAGUCCACGCCGUAAACGAUGUCGACUUGGAGGUUGUGCCCUUGAGGCGUGGCUUCCGGAGCUAACGCGUUAAGUCGACCGCCUGGGGAGUACGGCCGCAAGGUUAAAACUCAAAUGAAUUGACGGGGGCCCGCACAAGCGGUGGAGCAUGUGGUUUAAUUCGAUGCAACGCGAAGAACCUUACCUGGUCUUGACAUCCACGGAAGUUUUCAGAGAUGAGAAUGUGCCUUCGGGAACCGUGAGACAGGUGCUGCAUGGCUGUCGUCAGCUCGUGUUGUGAAAUGUUGGGUUAAGUCCCGCAACGAGCGCAACCCUUAUCCUUUGUUGCCAGCGGUCCGGCCGGGAACUCAAAGGAGACUGCCAGUGAUAAACUGGAGGAAGGUGGGGAUGACGUCAAGUCAUCAUGGCCCUUACGACCAGGGCUACACACGUGCUACAAUGGCGCAUACAAAGAGAAGCGACCUCGCGAGAGCAAGCGGACCUCAUAAAGUGCGUCGUAGUCCGGAUUGGAGUCUGCAACUCGACUCCAUGAAGUCGGAAUCGCUAGUAAUCGUGGAUCAGAAUGCCACGGUGAAUACGUUCCCGGGCCUUGUACACACCGCCCGUCACACCAUGGGAGUGGGUUGCAAAAGAAGUAGGUAGCUUAACCUUCGGGAGGGCGCUUACCACUUUGUGAUUCAUGACUGGGGUGAAGUCGUAACAAGGUAACCGUAGGGGAACCUGCGGUUGGAUCACCUCCUUA